UCAGAGCGCAUUACUAAUAUAAGCUCAUUGCGGUCUCCUACAAUUUGUAUAUUAGUUCUAGUAAGCACCAGAUCUCUUAGUCGAAGUGUAUUUUUCAAGAUCUUUGUACACAUAACUUCACGUGAUUUAAACUAACUAGCUAAAUAGCUCUGACAUAACAUUCAUAGCGCCGCCCUUGCACCUCUUCAAGUAUUUCCUGUAACACUUGUACUUUCAUAUAACAGCCAUUCUGACUUCUGUGCUGAACAAGGCGAGUGUGAAAAGGAAUACAUACAAGACAACAUUUUGAAGGAAUUUAACCACCGGAAGCAAAAUGAGGCUGACUGGUUUCAUUUGCGCGAUUCUUAUCGCCGCGAUCCUUGCUAGCGUUGUUACCGACGUCAAUGCUCAAAGAAGAGGCGCGCUGCGUCGAUGUUGUAUGAAUUGCCAACAAAGGGGGAUGGCAUGCAGGAUUGUCGGCAGCUACUCGUGCAGAUGCAGGGGUAACUCCAUAAUGAAUAGCGACGGGCCGUGAACGAUAGGAAUGCGCUUGUUUUUUUCUCUACGAAAAACCUUUACAGUUGAAAGUGUUAAGAACUUGGAUCUAAGUUUUUUAACUUUUGACCUUAAAUAACAGAUUUUUCUCUAGUUAGUUGAUUUAAUACUGUGUUAGACCGUGUACAACAUUGUUUCUGAGCGGAGACAUGUACAAAUAUGUAACUAAAUAAACAAAUAAAGAAUG
Long non-coding RNA from Mya arenaria, 721 nucleotides. RefSeq lists it as uncharacterized. The transcript is spliced from 2 exons. The record is from RefSeq and is a predicted model, not a curated record. NCBI's taxonomy places the organism in Eukaryota, Metazoa, Mollusca, Bivalvia, Myida, Myidae.